Molecule: ribosomal RNA, 331 nt
Filed under: uncultured bacterium
Lineage: Bacteria
Description: bacterial SSU rRNA
Rfam family: Bacterial small subunit ribosomal RNA
Source: RNAcentral
CGUGUAGGCGGUAAUGUAAGUCAGACGUGAAAUCCUUUGGCUCAACUGAAGAACUGCGUCUGAAGCUGCAUGACUAGAGUGCAGAAGAGGGAAACGGAAUUCCUGGUGUAGAGGUGAAAUUCGUAGAUAUCAGGAGGAACACCGGUGGCGAAGGCGGUUUCCUGGUCUGACACUGACGCUGAGGCGCGAAAGCGUGGGGAGCAAACAGGAUUAGAUACCCUGGUAGUCCACGCCGUAAACGGUGGGUACUGGGUGUGGGAGGUGUAAUGCCUUCUGUGCCGAAGCUAACGCGUUAAGUACCCCGCCUGGGGAGUACGGCCGCAAGGUUGAA